Long non-coding RNA from Hylaeus volcanicus, 909 nucleotides. RefSeq lists it as uncharacterized. Lineage: Eukaryota; Metazoa; Arthropoda; Insecta; Hymenoptera; Colletidae. The record is from RefSeq and is a predicted model, not a curated record. The transcript has 3 exons.
UAUCUCCUGACCGCCACCAGGUCCUCCCCUUGGUCCACCGCCACCACCACCGCCGCCUGCUAAAACAGAAAGCACCCUUCAGCAUCGACGAUGGAUUUUCAAACGGGACAGCGGGUCACUCUACCAGAGAUACUGUGAAUCACCUGCGGAGAUGCAAGCAUGAGAGAACUCUGUAUGAAAGUAUUUGCGCAAGAGUUUUUGGCAGACCUGACCUAAGAUGCGGAUGGCCACGAAGAAGUCUUUCAAAAUAGACAUCAAAGCAGAAGCAUUUCUAAUUCCUCAAAAUUUCAUCCAGAUCGCAUAAUUGACUUUUUAUCGAUUGGCUUAUCUGCGUAACGCGUGGUUGCGCCACGCUCGGAGAAAUCCGCGAAUGUACUCGAGAUUAAUUCGUAAUUGAAUGGGGUCUAAUUACUUACUACAUCGCGACGCCGUACAACGGGAACGACACGAGAUGUUCCCCGAUGCGUUCUUAUUUUCGCAACACCGCGCGGCAUUCUCACCGACUUCGAAUCGUACUUUAAGAUACACACAGCCGUCCUCGGAUACGUCUUUCAUUAGAGCGCCUCGAGGGGGAUAAAAUGAUUAGGCGGUUCGCGUCAGCGUGUUUUCACUUUUCUUUCGCCUCCGUCCGGGGGCCCUAAUUCCACGGCAUACUUUACAUACUUGAUGUAAUUCAACUGAAGAGUGUCUCUCGUUGGGAGAUUUCUCACUCUCUACAACUGAGAUGGCACAUGUCUCCUCCUGUGCGGUGACAUCACAGCGCUACAUAGUUUGUUCUGUAAUUUCACCUGUUGCACAGGUUAUCUAAUUCGCCAUCAUUGCAUCAGGACAUAUUAGGUGCAUAGGUAAUUUCUAUCUAUCUCUUUCGCCGAUACUUUCUCGUCGUUUGGGAUCGUUCGAAGACUCUGU